GAUGAACGCUAGCGGCAGGCUUAACACAUGCAAGUCGAGGGGUAUAGUUCUUCGGAACUAGAGACCGGCGCACGGGUGCGUAACGCGUAUGCAAUCUACCUUUCACAAAGGGAUAGCCCCAGAGAAAUUUGGAUUAAUACCUUAUAGUAAUACGACUUGGCAUCAAGAUGUAUUUAAAGAUUUAUCGGUGAAAGAUGAGCAUGCGUCCAUUAGCUUGUUGGUAAGGUAACGGCUUACCAAGACAAUGAUGGGUAGGGGUCCUGAGAGGGAGAUCCCCCACACUGGUACUGAGACACGGACCAAGACUCCUACGGGAGGCAGCAGUGAGGAAUAUUGGACAAUGGGCGCAAGCCUGAUCCAGCCAUGCCGCGUGCAGGAUGACGGUCCUAUGGAUUGUAAACUGCUUUUGUACAGGAAGAAACACUACUUCGUGAAGUAGCUUGACGGUACUGUAAGAAUAAGGAUCGGCUAACUCCGUGCCAGCAG
This 486-nucleotide ribosomal RNA is filed under the name uncultured bacterium. Its description in RNAcentral is "bacterial SSU rRNA". It matches the Rfam family "Bacterial small subunit ribosomal RNA", at positions 28 to 514 of the family's 1533-position model. The record is from RNAcentral.